UACAGAGGUCUCAAGCGUUGUUCGGAUUCAUUGGGCGUAAAGGGCGCGUAGGCGGCGGGGUAAGUCGGGUGUGAAAUCUCAGAGCUCAACUCUGAAACUGCACUCGAUACUGCUCUGCUUGAGGACUGGAGAGGAGACUGGAAUUCACGGUGUAGCAGUGAAAUGCGUAGAUAUCAUAAGGAAGACCAGUGGCGAAGGCGGGUCUCUGGACAGUUCCUGACGCUGAGGCACGAAGGCCAGGGGAGCAAACGGG
RNAcentral lists this ribosomal RNA (253 nucleotides) under uncultured bacterium. RNAcentral's name for it is "partial 16S ribosomal RNA". It matches the Rfam family "Bacterial small subunit ribosomal RNA", at positions 524 to 776 of the family's 1533-position model. The record is from RNAcentral.